GAUGAACGCUGGCGGCGUGCCUAAUACAUGCAAGUCGAGCGAACAGAUGAGGAGCUUGCUCCUCUGACGUUAGCGGCGGACGGGUGAGUAACACGUGGAUAACCUACCUAUAAGACUGGGAUAACUUCGGGAAACCGGAGCUAAUACCGGAUAAUAUAUUGAACCGCAUGGUUCAAUAGUGAAAGACGGUUUUGCUGUCACUUAUAGAUGGAUCCGCGCCGCAUUAGCUAGUUGGUAAUGUAACGGCUUACCAAGGCAACGAUGCGUAGCCGACCUGAGAGGGUGAUCGGCCACACUGGAACUGAGACACGGUCCAGACUCCUACGGGAGGCAGCAGUAGGGAAUCUUCCGCAAUGGGCGAAAGCCUGACGGAGCAACGCCGCGUGAGUGAUGAAGGUCUUCGGAUCGUAAAACUCUGUUAUUAGGGAAGAACAAAUGUGUAAGUAACUAUGCACGUCUUGACGGUACCUAAUCAGAAAGCCACGGCUAACUACGUG
Molecule: ribosomal RNA, 497 nt
Filed under: uncultured bacterium
Lineage: Bacteria
Description: partial 16S ribosomal RNA
Rfam family: Bacterial small subunit ribosomal RNA
Source: RNAcentral